Molecule: ribosomal RNA, 401 nt
Filed under: uncultured bacterium
Lineage: Bacteria
Description: partial 16S ribosomal RNA
Rfam family: Bacterial small subunit ribosomal RNA
Source: RNAcentral
GGAUAUUGCACAAUGGGCGAAAGCCUGAUGCAGCGACGCCGCGUGAGGGAUGACGGUCUUCGGAUUGUAAACCUCUGUCCUUGGUGAAGAAGAAAGUGACGGUAGCCAAGGAGGAAGCCACGGCUAACUACGUGCCAGCAGCCGCGGUAAUACGUAGGUGGCAAGCGUUGUCCGGAAUUACUGGGUGUAAAGGGAGCGCAGGCGGGCUUGCAAGUCAGCUGUGAAAUUCAAGGGCUUAACCCUUGACAUGCAGUUGAAACUACAGGUCUUGAGUGAAGUAGAGGUAGGCGGAAUUCCGAGUGUAGCGGUAAAAUGCGUAGAUAUUCGGAGGAACACCGGUGGCGAAGGCGGCCUACUGGGCUUUUACUGACGCUGAGGCUCGAAAGUGUGGGGAGCAAACA